GGGGCGGGCGCUAGGAGCUAGACAUAGGAGACGACCAAUGUAUGAAUAGCUAAAUUUUGUACGAGUGGGACUGUGUGGGCAGCUGCCCACGCUUGCCCCUCAAACCUCCAUUGAGAAAACCUCAACCGAAGGGAAAUUACAAGCCAAUGGCUUCACUACUAGAAAGCAGCACUUCUUGCAUCUGUUUCAGAAAACAGCUCCGACCAUCAGAUUCAACACAAAUAGCGACAAUGAUAAGAGGAUGAAGGAUGCAUACUUUGGAGAAGUUUUUGUCAGCAGCAGCCCCCAUGACAAGCUCCCCAAUCUCAUGUUGAGCAACUAAUUCCAACUGUUCCUUUCCCGACGUCCUCCGAUUCAAUAACGAGACGUUCUGCUUCUACCUGCAACACCAACAGAAGGACUUGGUGACAGGGAGAAGAAGAUUGAGAUUGGUCUGGCUUCUGACGGGCUAUAUCGUUUACCUAUACGUGUGAAAGAGAAGAGAAGAUAAGGUAUUGGAGUGAAGGCGCCACUAUCCAACAACAUGAUAUAGCGAUACCAUAGUUGCCCAGAACAGAAUAAGAACAACAGUCUUCUUCAAUCUUCUUCACAUUCUGUCAUGCCAUUGACGGAUUGCAGACCUAAGAGCAAGAUUUGGUGUGAGGUUGGAAUGGCUGAGCGGCAGAUUGGUGAUGGGAGAAGUACUAUGCCCACUAUUCAGCCAUUCUGUACCCACAUGCUUCUUUGGAUCAUGAACCUUUUUCACUACAUGGAAUCUCAGUAGAAUCUACUGAUGUGUUGGUUGAUACAAAUCUUGGAACAAAUAUACAGUUACUUCCAUCAGCUGAAACACUAGAUGUAGGACUUGUACACAUACCACAUGAUGCUGUGGAUACAUCUGAUAAGACAUCUCCAGUUCAAAUAGCAAAUGCUCAACCAAUUGAAGAUACUCUUAGUGGAAUGCGUGAGGAUCUGAAGAGAUCAGAUGUCAAGAUCUUAGAUGACCCUUUGUCUGGACCACCAGUGGAUGAAAAGAACUCCAAGUUAGAUGGACUUUUUCCUUUGGUUAACGAUGAAGAGAAUGUCUGCCCUAUUUGUCUUGAAGAAUAUGACAAGGAGAAUCCGAAAGUAGUAUCCAAUUGUGGGCACCAUUUUCAUCUUUCAUGCAUUCUGGAAUGGAUGGAAAGGAGUGAUAGCUGUGCAGUGUGCAAUCAGGCCAUGAUAUUCAAUGAAGAAGACUACUUCUAGCAGUUCUUAUUAGUAGAGUAAGAAGAAGAAAGGCCGAUAUUUCAGCUGGAGGUACAUACAUGAUGGUGCCUGUGAUUCUGAUUCUUCCUGAGGUUUUUCUUUUGAGCUUGAAAGGGGCUUCUAGUUUUGCUGGUAGUAGUAGUAUGUCUUCAUUCUCAAGGCAAAGUUACAUUCAGCCUAUCAUCUAUAGAGUAGUUUUCCCUCGUAGCCUCCUUUGUCUGUUGCUGCUCAGAACGGCGGCUUGCUCACCUGCUGAUGAAAGCAGAACACAUUCAGAGUUGGUUGCUGGAAGCUGAGAUUGUGUAUGCAUCAUUUGUUUAAUCUUUCUUUCUGUUAGUCUCUCUGUAUAGCUGUUUGUGAACAGAAUCAUCAUUCUACGGCAUUAGUUUUGUAGAUUGUUCAGUUUUGUUGCCAUUCCAUUGCUGUAGAGAA
RNA transcript from Nymphaea colorata (pocket water lily), 1659 nucleotides. It is a transcript of the gene named probable E3 ubiquitin-protein ligase RHB1A, with no coding region annotated. NCBI's taxonomy places the organism in Eukaryota, Viridiplantae, Streptophyta, Magnoliopsida, Nymphaeales, Nymphaeaceae. The transcript is spliced from 5 exons. The record is from RefSeq and is a predicted model, not a curated record.